This 455-nucleotide ribosomal RNA is filed under the name uncultured bacterium. Its description in RNAcentral is "bacterial SSU rRNA". It matches the Rfam family "Bacterial small subunit ribosomal RNA", at positions 349 to 793 of the family's 1533-position model. The record is from RNAcentral.
CAGCAGUGGGGAAUAUUGCACUAAUGGGGGAAACCCUGAUGCAGCCAUGCCGCGUGUGUGAAGUAAGGCCUUCGGGUUGUAAAGCACUUUCAGUAGGGAGGAAGGUAGUGUAGUUAACACCUGCACUAUUUGACGUUACCUACAGAAGAAGCACCGGCUAACUCCGUGCCAGCAGCCGCGGUAAUACGGAGGGUGCGAGCGUUAAUCGGAAUUACUGGGCGUAAAGCGCAUGCAGGCGGCCUGUUAAGUCAGAUGUGAAAGCCCCGGGGCUUAACCUCGGAAUUGCAUUUGUAAACUGGCAGGCUAGAGUCUUGUAGAGGGGGUAGAAUUUCAGGUGUAGCGGUGAAAUGCGUAGAGAUCUGAAGGAAUACCAGUGGCGAAGGCGGCCCCCUGGACAAAGACUGACGCUCAGAUGCGAAAGCGUGGGGAGCAAACAGGAUUAGAUACCCUGGUAG